GUGGAUGUGGUUCAGUGGAAGAAUACCGGUUCACCCGUCCGGUGACAUGGGUUCGAUUCCCGUCAUCCGCU
This 71-nucleotide transfer RNA is filed under the name Kroppenstedtia pulmonis. It matches the Rfam family "tRNA". From Rfam's summary of the family: Transfer RNA (tRNA) molecules are approximately 80 nucleotides in length. Their secondary structure includes four short double-helical elements and three loops (D, anti-codon, and T loops). Further hydrogen bonds mediate the characteristic L-shaped molecular structure. tRNAs have two regions of fundamental functional importance: the anti-codon, which is responsible for specific mRNA codon recognition, and the 3' end, to which the tRNAs corresponding amino acid is attached (by aminoacyl-tRNA synthetases). tRNAs cope with the degeneracy of the genetic code in two manners: having more than one tRNA (with a specific anti-codon) for a particular amino acid; and 'wobble' base-pairing, i.e. permitting non-standard base-pairing at the 3rd anti-codon position. The record is from Rfam by way of RNAcentral. Lineage: Bacteria; Bacillati; Bacillota; Bacilli; Caryophanales; Thermoactinomycetaceae.